This 253-nucleotide ribosomal RNA is filed under the name uncultured bacterium. RNAcentral's name for it is "partial 16S ribosomal RNA". It matches the Rfam family "Bacterial small subunit ribosomal RNA", at positions 524 to 776 of the family's 1533-position model. The record is from RNAcentral.
UACAGAGGGGGCAAGCGUUGUUCGGAAUUACUGGGCGUAAAGGGCGCGUAGGCGGCCGCCUAAGUCAGACGUGAAAUCCCUCGGCUCAACCGGGGAACUGCGUCUGAUACUGGGUGGCUUGAAUCCGGGAGAGGGAUGCGGAAUUCCAGGUGUAGCGGUGAAAUGCGUAGAUAUCUGGAGGAACACCGGUGGCGAAGGCGGCAUCCUGGACUGGCAUUGACGCUGAGGCGCGAAGGCUAGGGUAGCGAAAGGG